This 107-nucleotide small nucleolar RNA is filed under the name Ochotona princeps (American pika). RNAcentral's name for it is "Small nucleolar RNA ACA64 (ENSOPRG00000023968.1)". It matches the Rfam family "Small nucleolar RNA ACA64". The record is from RNAcentral. Lineage: Eukaryota; Metazoa; Chordata; Mammalia; Lagomorpha; Ochotonidae.
AUAGGCUAAAAAUUGCCUCAGUCAUGGCUGUGGCUGCAGUUGAGAUUUGGUGCCAUAGCUCACCCUCCAGUGCCUGGGUGUGUGGGAUUGAAACCCAGGCCACAACA